Molecule: unclassified non-coding RNA, 340 nt
Filed under: Hevea brasiliensis (rubber tree)
Lineage: Eukaryota; Viridiplantae; Streptophyta; Magnoliopsida; Malpighiales; Euphorbiaceae
Source: RNAcentral
UGCUGGCCUUGGAGUUUUCAAGAUGAGAUCAGUUGUGCUAUUGUGAGGACAAUUUCUAACUUUAAGAUUAUAGUAUUCCUGAACAGCCUGCCACUGAGCAGAUGCUAGAAGCACCCUUGGCCUGAUUGACCUGACAUAAUCAAAUGCACCAUCAGGUGUCAUCUGCUUGUGUCGCACCAGGUAACAUAUAACAAUGGUUGUACUGCGCCCCCUACCAGCCUUACAAUGAACAUACGUAGUCCGUCCUUGCAAUACAUUCUCAUGAAUAAAAUCCACAGCUAGACAAAUAUCACUUAAGGAUGGUGCAAAGUAGUAGUCUCUUGUAGGAAUGACCAGAUGG